Culex quinquefasciatus (southern house mosquito) is the source of this 649-nucleotide long non-coding RNA. RefSeq lists it as uncharacterized. The record is from RefSeq and is a predicted model, not a curated record. The transcript has 3 exons. NCBI's taxonomy places the organism in Eukaryota, Metazoa, Arthropoda, Insecta, Diptera, Culicidae.
CAUGAGCAACCUCGUGUCCAGCGAUGGCGACGGCAAAGUCUACAUCUGUUUAACUGCUUCUGCGAGCAGCUGACACUGGCAGCAUACGUCGUACGCAGAUUCUCGAGUUCCUACUCCAGCUGGCAGAGGCAGGCAACUUUCACAGCUAUCUGACGCUGGACGUGGUGUACAAGAUCGAGUUGGAGGUGCACAAGAAACCCAUCGCCUCGUCGGUGUUCCGGUCAACCUGGCUUAGGGGGCUCAGGGAGCUGAGAUACCGGUUCUGGGUUUCGGUUGACAGCGUUUGAAGAGCUGAACGACGACAGUUUCACGCUGGAGGAACAUCUUUAGACAAGGGGAGCAACAAAUAUUACCUGCAGAUAUUACGAAGGAUUAGUUGACGGCGAAGCAGUUCUGUGAAAGCCGUCGAGUAGCGGAACGACAACGGGUUGCUGCAACGGCAUAGCUGGAGGUGAAAACACACACAAUGUGUUGACAUCUGAUUGGCACUUAAUUCAGGACGUUAAUAAGUGCAUCGACAAAGAGAUUCGGGUGUUUUAUUAAAAAAUAUUUAUUUAGCUUGCUUUUUGUUUUAUUUAUUUUUAAAUUUAAUCGUUACUCGCAUUCCGGAAUUGAACGGAAAAUUGAUGUAGUAGUUGAAAGAUUUAUA